Molecule: long non-coding RNA, 823 nt
Organism: Sapajus apella (tufted capuchin)
Lineage: Eukaryota; Metazoa; Chordata; Mammalia; Primates; Cebidae
Exons: 2
Source: RefSeq, a predicted model, not a curated record
UACAUGAUGUAUGAGAGCAGGGACUUUGUAAAUCUAUGCACCAUUGUUUCUGGCAUAGAUUAUAUGCUGAAUUAAUGAUAUGGUAGAUAAAUGAAUUUUAGUGCACGAGAUGGUUGUUUAAACAACUCAAGAGUUGUUUAAACUCUUCCGCAUAGAAAAACAAGUGUCCAGUGUAUAUUUUAAAGAAUAGUGUGUAAUACUUAUAUAUUUCUGUGUAUAUAUGUAUACCAUAAUAACAGUAAUAAUCAUGUUUGAUAUAACUCAUUCAAUGAACAAGUCCUUUGAAAGUUAUGAAGUGCGCUACAUGAGUAAGGUAUUUACCAUGUUAAUAUUAAUACAAUAUAUUCUUAGACUGGCGCCAAAGUUUAUCAGCAAUGUAUCCUGCAGUAAGCUUGCUGCAUUUGGAGAAAACUGGGCUCUAGAAGUGGAUGCAUCUUUGGAAACACUGUGACAAUUAUGUGGAAGUGCAGUUGUCCUGCUGAAUCACUGCCACUAUUUUCUGAGCUUCAAGUUAGGGCUGAGACCCUCAGAAGUCUCAUCAGUCAACGUCUUCCAUGGUCCACAGAUACAUGAGAGGUUUGGAGCACAUAGUCACUGGCUGCAUUUUAAAGCAGCAACUUAAUGGAGCCUGAAAUUUUAAGUUAUCGUGGAUGGAGAUCAGAUGGUCUAUCUGCUUUGUGGGAAUCUGGAGACGGUUGAUGAGAUGAGUUCUUUGGAAGAAUCGUUGCUAUAUAAAUACGAAUCAGAGCAAAUACAAUAAUUCUGCCUCCAAAAUUGCCUUAGGGGUAGAACAGUGUUCAAUAAACAUAGUAUAAUACUGUGA